This is a non-coding RNA of Lepisosteus oculatus (spotted gar), 3887 nucleotides long. The record is from RefSeq and is a predicted model, not a curated record. NCBI's taxonomy places the organism in Eukaryota, Metazoa, Chordata, Actinopteri, Semionotiformes, Lepisosteidae.
AGUGGAAUCUUCCUGAAAGAAUAUUCACCUGGACAAAAGUGGAGGUGGAGUUUGGAGGCCUUCUGUAUCUCUUUCCUGCUGAGGGCAGUCAAGGAUACCCUCCCAUCAGCAACAUGAGGGUGGACCUUGGAGGAAAGCUGCAGUUUCCUGAGGUUGUUCAAAGACCAGACAUGGUCCUCAGAGGCAAAAAAGAUCAUCCUCACUGGGGUGACAGUGCCAUGGGAGGAAGGAUGCGAAAAGGCCUUUAAGAGGAAAAGUGAAGAUUUGGUACUAGACUGCAGAGGAAAAGGGGUGGCAGAUGUAGUUGUUCCCAGUGGAGGUUGGGUGUAGAGGGAUCUGCACAAAAUCAGUGCGAAGAGAGCUAAAAGCUGUGGCGCUCACUGGGAGGGGAGGGAGAGAAAGACAGCAGCCCAAAGCCUGGGAGAGGCAGUGGAGACAGCCUCAUGCUGGCUCUGGAACAGGAGGAAGAAGUAAAGCUGGAGGCUGGGAGGAGAUGGGCAGUGACUGGCUAUCACUGCUGACCUGCCAGCAGGAGGGUGUUAUGGAUAAGGAUAUAGAUAAAGGUGAAAAAGCCUGACGAAAGCUUGGUUCCACCUGAUGACAUCAAUUACUGGCCAACAGUAAUAAUCCAUAUGUAGGCGGGUGGUACCCACACCUGUAACACAGUUUCCCUGAGAGUCGGAACCCUUCUCCAAGGAAUUCGAGCUUCUCUGUUAUUCUCAGACGCCACACUGAAAGGAGAAGAUGCCGUGGGAACAGCAAUCAGAGCCAGGCCAGUGGUUGCACAGGUUCACCUGGCUUCGUGCAGAGCUGUCUUGUGGACAUCAUGGCACAGUGCUCCUCUCCUGAGCUCCGGAGACGCCCCUGUCUGCUGGCAAUUGUGCUGUUAGAACAGGGUCACGCAGGCUCUGACAGUGGGACAAUUCUCUGACGUGAAGUGUUCUCAUGGGAGAAAACUAAGCACAGGUACAACAUUGUGAGAAUUGGAAGAUUAAAGAACCAUACAGUCUGAUUUGCCUCGAAUCCCAGAAUACCUACACAGCACUAGAAUUUGUCAUUAUUAUUUGGAUUCUCUUGCUGUAAAGGGAAGUGAAGUGAAUUUUUGGAAAGAGGAACCAAACAUUAAAGAAUAAAGCUGUUCAGAGCUCGUGUAUCACCUGGAUGUUAUAAUAACAUACAAUUAUUAUUGUUUUUAAUAUUAUUAUACAUAAUGUCUAGAUGCUGGAAUUUUUCAUAAUGUAUUUUCAGGGUUUUAGCUAUGCCCUCAAGAUUUUUUAUGCAAAUGAAAAGUAAUAUAUAAGACAAACAACCGUUUUGAAAACUGUUAAAAAUAGGGGGGAAAAUUGUUUACAAUGCAUCUUGCAGAUUAUAGGUGGAAUUACUUAGUUCAAUAUGGGAACUUUUUUUUUCAGUGAAAUUCAGUGCUAAUUCAAUUUGGCUUCAAGAGUAGUAGCGAGUGAAUACAAAUUAAGUUCAAAUCCUUGUCAAGUGAUGUUGUAACAUCAGCUGCGUUCUUCACUGGUAACACUCAAUUAAAUGAAUUUUAUUCAUUUAAUUUACAUUGAUGCUGGACUGGAGUUGGAAGGAGACUGGAAGUGAGUCAGGAAUUACAACCCAUUAUGUUUGUUUUAUAGUACUUUAUCUGUCUAAUCAGGGGACUGGGCUCCAGGAUUACAAUCUUUCUUGGUAAUUCUUGUAAUUAAUCAAUAAACAGAAUAUAGCACAAAUCAUUUGUCCAUACACUCAGUGUGGAUUGUUAAACACUUUUCCCAAAAACCAAAUAAAAAGGAGGAAAAUGGGGGAAUGAAUCAUAAUGUAUAGCAGAAAAGCCAGGAUUUACAAAAAAGGAAAAAAUAACGAUCUUCAGAAGAGUUCUGGAUUUGACUUUUCUUGCAAUGAUCACUGGAACUUAUAUUUAUUAUUAGUUUAUUAUUGUAUAUUAUUGCUGAGUUUCAAGAUCGUCAUGGUGAGGACAGUGAAAAAAACAUAUAGUUCUGCAAAGAAGGUGGCACUCAUUGCCAUUGUUGUAAAGAAGGUAUAAUUUAGAGUAAUGGAAAGGUUUCAAUUUUAAAAGAAAGCUCCAGAGAAUUGUUCUAAAUUAGAAAGCUUUCGUGUAAUCCAUUCCAUUGUAAUAGGAUGCUUGUAUGGUUUUAGAGUUCAUAGACUAGCACCUAUGAGAAGAAACCCCUUUCUUAAUUGCCUCUUUCAUUUAAUAAUACAACCCUCGGAAGAAAACAGCAGAGUUCUCACUAAUUAAGCAGUAAUGUGAAAGCAUUUGGACAUAGAGUAUUUGCAGGUUGUGAUCUGGGGUUUACCACUUCAGAGAACACAAGGACAUGCCUGUGAUGUCAUUCAAGAGUUCUUUCAUUUCACCAUGAGUCUCUCCUCCUUUUGUCAGUGUUACAAGAUGGCCCUCCUUAAAAAUGUCUGUACAGAAGAGAAACAGUACAGUUUAGUGGAUAAAAGUACCUAAAAGUACCUCACGAAGGUACUUUUCACCAUGAGAGGAUCUUUUUUUUCUGAUCUGAAGACCAUUAUUGAAUUCCCAUUCGUUUUAAAUAUACAAUAAAAAUGAGAUCUGUAAGUAUUAUAUAUAAUGCUACAUAACUUAGUUGUGUCACAAUAGUUUAGGGAUUUGGACUUGUAACCGGAUGAUUGUCGGUUAAAAUCUUACGUAAGGCAGUCCUAUUGUACCCUUGAGCAAGGUGCAUCACUCUGUUAGCUCCUGUAAAAUACCUAGCUAUAUCAAUAGGCACAAACGUAGGUUGCUUUGGAUAAAGGUGUCAGCCAAAUAAGAGUUCACUAGGGACAACAUCCAAGGGCUGAAUGGUUGUGAAUGGUUGGAAUACUUGGUGAGAAAAGUUUGGCUGAACAUGCUUGGUCAAUGGGUAGCCUCCUGGCCAUCUGAUGAGAAGGGUCGAUCACCAUUCAGACAGAGAGAACGAAGGGGCAGCUGGCAGGUGAAAAUGAGGUGGAAGAGAGAUGCUAUAACAAAUGUGAAGGGAAGUGCUAUCAGAGCAGAUCUACUGGUAGAAUGUUGGUUUUACGGAAUGCUGGGCCCACAGGGGACAUGGACACCACAUUGAAAGCUCUUGUUCUACAGGGGCUUUGACGAUGGGGUUUCAAUCUGCAAAUACUGUACUUGCCUCUCAUUAAGAUCCAGUUCUUCUACGUAAAUAAUCAGAGAACAUGAAAAACAUGUUCCACAUGUGGUAGUUCUCCCUGUUUUGAUUAUUCAAAUAACACUGAAUUGAAUUAUGGGAAUACUGUACACCCAGUAAAACAUCCAGAAGAUUUUCAGCCUCGCUAUACUCUGACAAAUAAAUGGUUAAGCAUUUUUAUUUUCCAGAAAUAAUCUAUUCAUGUUUAACACAUCUGCAAUUUUAGAUAUCUUUGGUUUGUGGUUAGUAACUAAAACUGUUUUGCUUACAUGUUUGUCUAUUUAGUGCUGCAACUAGUGGCUUUCUGAAACUGAUAUAUUUUGUGAUGAAAGUCACUUUAAUUACUGUGAAGCAAAGCUCAAGGCAGAUUCAUGAUCGCUAUUGUGGCAGUCAUGAAAAGCAUAAAAAUGACAUAAAUGCUUUGAUGGUAAAUGACAGGAACCUAGUCUAAGAGUUUAUAUGUGUGAGACCUUUUUUCUCCCUAAUUUUCUGUCCCCUGACCAAACUGUUCAGUUUGUUUUACUUUAUAUCUCUGUGUGUUAUUUUUUUCUGAUUUAAAUAACUAUUAUCCAUAUUCUUGCAUUAAUCAUUUAAAGAGUAGUUAAUCAUAUGAAACCAAGCAAGAGGCAUCUGUGAUAGAUUGCUUUGAGAAUAUAGCUAUUGUAAUAUUCCAUUGUAAUACUCAUCUGAUAUUCUGUUAACUAAUAAUAUUUUCUUGUUGUCAUC